GCGCCGGGGAUUAGUGGCGAACGGGUGAGUAACACGUGAGUAACCUGCCCUUGACUCUGGGAUAAGCCUGGGAAACUGGGUCUAAUACCGGAUAUGACUCCUCAUCGCAUGGUGGGGGGUGGAAAGCUUUUUGUGGUUUUGGAUGGACUCGCGGCCUAUCAGCUUGUUGGUGGGGUAAUGGCCUACCAAGGCGACGACGGGUAGCCGGCCUGAGAGGGUGACCGGCCACACUGGGACUGAGACACGGCCCAGACUCCUACGGGAGGCAGCAGUGGGGAAUAUUGCACAAUGGGCGAAAGCCUGAUGCAGCGACGCCGCGUGAGGGAUGACGGCCUUCGGGUUGUAAACCUCUUUCAGUAGGGAAGAAGCCCUCUUUGGGGGUGACGGUACUUGCAGAAGAAGCGCCGGCUAACUACGUGCCAGCAGCCGCGGUAAUACGUAGGGCGCAAGCGUUAUCCGGAAUUAUUGGGCGUAAAGAGCUCGUAGGCGGUUUGUCGCGUCUGCUGUGAAAGACCGGGGCUCAACUCCGGUUCUGCAGUGGGUACGGGCAGACUAGAGUGCAGUAGGGGAGACUGGAAUUCCUGGUGUAGCGGUGAAAUG
RNAcentral lists this ribosomal RNA (600 nucleotides) under Arthrobacter sp. RNAcentral's name for it is "bacterial SSU rRNA". It matches the Rfam family "Bacterial small subunit ribosomal RNA", at positions 82 to 688 of the family's 1533-position model. The record is from RNAcentral. Lineage: Bacteria; Bacillati; Actinomycetota; Actinomycetes; Micrococcales; Micrococcaceae.